AAUGGACGAAAGUCUGAGGCAGCAACUCCGCGUGAGGGACGAAGGCUCUCAGGUCGUAAACCUCCUUUCUCAGGGAAGAUCCAAGACGGUACCUGAGGAAUAAGCCACGGCUAACUACGUGCCAGCAGCCGCGGUAAUACGUAGGUGGCAAGCGUUGUCCGGAUUUACUGGGCGUAAAGAGCGCGCAGGCGGCUGGUCAAGUCCGAUGUGAAAUCUCCCGGCUCAACUGGGAAACUGCAUCGGAAACUGAUCGGCUUGAAGGUGGGAGAGGGUAGUGGAAUUCCCGGUGUAGUGGUGAAAUGCGUAGAUAUCGGGAGGAACACCAGUGGCGAAGGCGACUACCUGGCCCACUCUUGACGCUGAGGCGCGAAAGCUAGGGGAGCGAACGGGAUUAGAUACCCCGGUAGUCCUAGCCGUAAACGAUGAACACUAGGCGUAGUCGGUAUCGACCCCGGCUGUGCCGUAGCCAACGCAUUAAGUGUUCCGCCUGGGGAGUACGGCCGCAAGGCUA
This 511-nucleotide ribosomal RNA is filed under the name uncultured bacterium. RNAcentral's name for it is "bacterial SSU rRNA". It matches the Rfam family "Bacterial small subunit ribosomal RNA", at positions 370 to 896 of the family's 1533-position model. The record is from RNAcentral.